AGAGUUUGAUCCUGGCUCAGGACGAACGCUUGCGGCGUGCCUAAGAAAUGCAAGUCGAACGGUGUAGCAAUACAUAGUGGCGAACGGUCGCGUAACACGUAAGCAACCUACCCCUGACACUGGGAUAAGCCUGGGAAACUGGGUCUAAUACCGGAUAGGACCUUGUGCUGCAUGGUGUGGGGUGGAAAGUUUUUCGGCUGGGGAUGGGCCCGCGGCCUAUCAGCUUGUUGGUGGGGUGAUGGCUUACCAAGGCGACGACGGGUAGCCGGCCUGAGAGGGUGUUCGGCCACACUGGGACUGAGACACGGCCCAGACUCCUACGGGAGGCAGCAGUGGGGAAUAUUGCGCAAUGGGCGGAAGCCUGACGCAGCGACGCCGCGUGGGGGAUGACGGCCUUCGGGUUGUAAACCUCUUUCGACCUUGACGAAGCCUUGUGGGGUGACGGUAGGGGUGGAAGAAGCACCGGCCAACUACGUGCCAGCCGCCGCGGUAAUUC
Molecule: ribosomal RNA, 496 nt
Filed under: uncultured bacterium
Lineage: Bacteria
Description: bacterial SSU rRNA
Rfam family: Bacterial small subunit ribosomal RNA
Source: RNAcentral